UAGGGAAUCUUCAGCAAUGGACGAAAGUCUGACCGAGCAACGCCGCGUGAGUGAAGAAGGUUUUCGGAUCGUAAAACUCUGUUGUUAGAGAAGAACAAGGACGUUAGUAACUGAACGUCCCCUGACGGUAUCUAACCAGAAAGCCACGGCUAACUACGUGCCAGCAGCCGCGGUAAUACGUAGGUGGCAAGCGUUGUCCGGAUUUAUUGGGCGUAAAGCGAGGGCAGGCGGUUUCUUAAGUCUGAUGUGAAAGCCCCCGGCUCAACCGGGGAGGGUCAUUGGAAACUGGGAGACUUGAGUGCAGAAGAGGAGAGUGGAAUUCCAUGGGUAGCGGUGGAAUGCGUAGAUAGAUGGAGGAACACCAGUGGCGAGGGCGGCUCUCUGGUCUGUAACUGACGCUGAGGCACGAAAGCGUGGGGAGCAAACAGA
This 429-nucleotide ribosomal RNA is filed under the name Gemmatimonadota bacterium. Its description in RNAcentral is "Gemmatimonadetes bacterium partial 16S ribosomal RNA". It matches the Rfam family "Bacterial small subunit ribosomal RNA", at positions 355 to 776 of the family's 1533-position model. The record is from RNAcentral. Lineage: Bacteria; Pseudomonadati; Gemmatimonadota.